AAAUGUCAGGCUUCUGAACCUAAUUUGAAUUUGCAUAAAUUUAGAAAUUGAAAUAUUAACACUUCGACCUUCAAAUAUCUUGAUUAUAUUUAUUUUCCUACAUAAUCUUGCUUUUAUUACUUGUACGUAUGUUUUCGAUAUAUACCAAGCAAAUUACUUUUAUAAAUGUGGAAAGCUUUCUAGAAGGAUUUAUCCUAAAAGUCUCAAAUAAUGCUAUAAAAAAUAUGAAUGACAGAUACCAUAAAUAAAUCGCAGUGACGUGCAAAAUACCAUUGAAAGUAUAAUAAAAAUGAUACAUGGCGAAAAAGCGUGGCAGACAAUAAAACCAAUCAAACAAUAAACGUCGGAAAUUAAUUGACAUUCAAAAAAUGGAAUGAAAAAGAAUGCGAGAGGGAAAAUAAAAGAAGAAUAUUUUUGUUUGUAAUAAAUUGCUAUAAUGAUAAAUGCAAUCAAUUUUACGGAACUGAGUAACAGUGCUUUUUUAAUUGAAUGUAUAAGUUGAGAGAAUCUGGAAUAGAGAGACGCAAUGUUCGCUAAGAGAUUGAAAGCUCUGUCUUUUGUGGAGGAAGGAGGGGAUUCGAGCCUGCAGCGCCCCUCGUAUAAAGAGCUACAAGGUGGGCUAGAUGACUAAGUAACAAUUACAACAAGCGUCGUUUUGGGCUUUUUGUUGAAUGCUAAAUACGUAAUGUGAUAAACGUCCUUUUUAAUCAAA
This is a long non-coding RNA of Hermetia illucens (black soldier fly), 712 nucleotides long. RefSeq lists it as uncharacterized. The record is from RefSeq and is a predicted model, not a curated record. The transcript is spliced from 2 exons. NCBI's taxonomy places the organism in Eukaryota, Metazoa, Arthropoda, Insecta, Diptera, Stratiomyidae.